GGGUUGUGAGGUUAAGCGACUAAGCGUACACGGUGGAUGCCCUGGCAGUCAGAGGCGAUGAAGGACGUGCUAAUCUGCGAUAAGCGUCGGUAAGGUGAUAUGAACCGUUAUAACCGGCGAUUUCCGAAUGGGGAAACCCAGUGUGAUUCGUCACACUAUCAUUAACUGAAUCCAUAGGUUAAUGAGGCGAACCGGGGGAACUGAAACAUCUAAGUACCCCGAGGAAAAGAAAUCAACCGAGAUUCCCCCAGUAGCGGCGAGCGAACGGGGAGGAGCCCAGAGCCUGAAUCAGUGUGUGUGUUAGUGGAAGCGUCUGGAAAGGCGCGCGAUACAGGGUGACAGCCCCGUACACAAAAAUGCACAUGCUGUGAGCUCGAUGAGUAGGGCGGGACACGUGGUAUCCUGUCUGAAUAUGGGGGGACCAUCCUCCAAGGCUAAAUACUCCUGACUGACCGAUAGUGAACCAGUACCGUGAGGGAAAGGCGAAAAGAACCCCGGCGAGGGGAGUGAAAAAGAACCUGAAACCGUGUACGUACAAGCAGUGGGAGCACAGAGCAAUCUGUGUGACUGCGUACCUUUUGUAUAAUGGGUCAGCGACUUAUAUUCUGUAGCAAGGUUAACCGAAUAGGGGAGCCGAAGGGAAACCGAGUCUUAACUGGGCGUUAAGUUGCAGGGUAUAGACCCGAAACCCGGUGAUCUAGCCAUGGGCAGGUUGAAGGUUGGGUAACACUAACUGGAGGACCGAACCGACUAAUGUUGAAAAAUUAGCGGAUGACUUGUGGCUGGGGGUGAAAGGCCAAUCAAACCGGGAGAUAGCUGGUUCUCCCCGAAAGCUAUUUAGGUAGCGCCUCGUGAAUUCAUCUCCGGGGGUAGAGCACUGUUUCGGCAAGGGGGUCAUCCCGACUUACCAACCCGAUGCAAACUACGAAUACCGGAGAAUGUUAUCACGGGAGACACACGGCGGGUGCUAACGUCCGUCGUGAAGAGGGAAACAACCCAGACCGCCAGCUAAGGUCCCAAAGUCAUGGUUAAGUGGGAAACGAUGUGGGAAGGCCCAGACAGCCAGGAUGUUGGCUUAGAAGCAGCCAUCAUUUAAAGAAAGCGUAAUAGCUCACUGGUCGAGUCGGCCUGCGCGGAAGAUGUAACGGGGCUAAACCAUGCACCGAAGCUGCGGCAGCGACGCUUAUGCGUUGUUGGGUAGGGGAGCGUUCUGUAAGCCUGUGAAGGUGUACUGUGAGGUACGCUGGAGGUAUCAGAAGUGCGAAUGCUGACAUAAGUAACGAUAAAGCGGGUGAAAAGCCCGCUCGCCGGAAGACCAAGGGUUCCUGUCCAACGUUAAUCGGGGCAGGGUGAGUCGACCCCUAAGGCGAGGCCGAAAGGCGUAGUCGAUGGGAAACAGGUUAAUAUUCCUGUACUUGGUGUUACUGCGAAGGGGGGACGGAGAAGGCUAUGUUGGCCGGGCGACGGUUGUCCCGGUUUAAGCGUGUAGGCUGGUUUUCCAGGCAAAUCCGGAAAAUCAAGGCUGAGGCGUGAUGACGAGGCACUACGGUGCUGAAGCAACAAAUGCCCUGCUUCCAGGAAAAGCCUCUAAGCAUCAGGUAACAUCAAAUCGUACCCCAAACCGACACAGGUGGUCAGGUAGAGAAUACCAAGGCGCUUGAGAGAACUCGGGUGAAGGAACUAGGCAAAAUGGUGCCGUAACUUCGGGAGAAGGCACGCUGAUAUGUAGGUGAAGUCCCUCGCGGAUGGAGCUGAAAUCAGUCGAAGAUACCAGCUGGCUGCAACUGUUUAUUAAAAACACAGCACUGUGCAAACACGAAAGUGGACGUAUACGGUGUGACGCCUGCCCGGUGCCGGAAGGUUAAUUGAUGGGGUCAGCGCAAGCGAAGCUCUUGAUCGAAGCCCCGGUAAACGGCGGCCGUAACUAUAACGGUCCUAAGGUAGCGAAAUUCCUUGUCGGGUAAGUUCCGACCUGCACGAAUGGCGUAAUGAUGGCCAGGCUGUCUCCACCCGAGACUCAGUGAAAUUGAACUCGCUGUGAAGAUGCAGUGUACCCGCGGCAAGACGGAAAGACCCCGUGAACCUUUACUAUAGCUUGACACUGAACAUUGAGCCUUGAUGUGUAGGAUAGGUGGGAGGCUUAGAAGUGUGGACGCCAGUCUGCAUGGAGCCGACCUUGAAAUACCACCCUUUAAUGUUUGAUGUUCUAACGUUGACCCGUGAUCCGGGUUGCGGACAGUGUCUGGUGGGUAGUUUGACUGGGGCGGUCUCCUCCUAAAGAGUAACGGAGGAGCACGAAGGUUGGCUAAUCCUGGUCGGACAUCAGGAGGUUAGUGCAAUGGCAUAAGCCAGCUUGACUGCGAGCGUGACGGCGCGAGCAGGUGCGAAAGCAGGUCAUAGUGAUCCGGUGGUUCUGAAUGGAAGGGCCAUCGCUCAACGGAUAAAAGGUACUCCGGGGAUAACAGGCUGAUACCGCCCAAGAGUUCAUAUCGACGGCGGUGUUUGGCACCUCGAUGUCGGCUCAUCACAUCCUGGGGCUGAAGUAGGUCCCAAGGGUAUGGCUGUUCGCCAUUUAAAGUGGUACGCGAGCUGGGUUUAGAACGUCGUGAGACAGUUCGGUCCCUAUCUGCCGUGGGCGCUGGAGAACUGAGGGGGGCUGCUCCUAGUACGAGAGGACCGGAGUGGACGCAUCACUGGUGUUCGGGUUGUCAUGCCAAUGGCACUGCCCGGUAGCUAAAUGCGGAAGAGAUAAGUGCUGAAAGCAUCUAAGCACGAAACUUGCCCCGAGAUGAGUUCUCCCUGACUCCUUGAGAGUCCUGAAGGAACGUUGAAGACGACGACGUUGAUAGGCCGGGUGUGUAAGCGCAGCGAUGCGUUGAGCUAACCGGUACUAAUGAACCGUGAGGCUUAACCUUACAACGCCGAAG
Molecule: ribosomal RNA, 2927 nt
Filed under: Escherichia coli
Lineage: Bacteria; Pseudomonadati; Pseudomonadota; Gammaproteobacteria; Enterobacterales; Enterobacteriaceae
Description: 23S ribosomal RNA
Rfam family: Bacterial large subunit ribosomal RNA
Source: RNAcentral